UUGAAAUAGAGGGGGGGUUAGAAAUUAAUUCAUCUACCCAAAGAUAUUGGGCCAUCUCACUAAACCAAAUCAGCAGCCCAAUAUCCCCCUCAACCGCCCCAGCCCAAUUCUCGCCGACCCGGCCCAAAACUACCUAAAAACCAGCCUAACCAAACAAAAUCCCUAACUCUUUUUCCAUCCCAACCAAACGAUCCCCUAACUCCUUUCCCCUUCAACCAACAGCUAACCAAACGACGCCGCCAUCCCACCCCGUCACGUCACUUCCAUCACCUCGUCAGCACUACCACGCCGUCGGACCGCUGGGUUAACGUGGUCAGCGACGCCACUGGCCUCACAAGUCACAUAUUUCCCAUCAACUCUCUCUCAAUACAACAGAUACAAGUUAGGAUCGUCAGAUUCUCGCUCUCAACGGCUCUCUUCCUUUCUAAUCAGUCUGAAAAGUUAACGAGCGGAUUUGGCGACUCGACAACGACGAAUCACCUCAGUUCGCUGCCCCGGAGAAGGUCAGUAACUUUCCUUUUCCCUACUUUUAUUUUAGUCCAAUGAGUGAAUGCAUAAAUAAUUGAACGUUGGUGUCGCUCGCCUAAUUUUCUGUUUAGGCGUUUGUUACAAUACUUGAUGUUGCCAUUUUAUUUAAUAUAAAUCAUGUACGUGUAAAGGGCUACUGGAAAACUUAAAGUAAACUACUUAAGAGAAAUAUGGAUUCGACUUGUCGAAUAUAUGAAUAACUAUGUCCUCAUCUAAUUUUCCGCUUUUGCAUCUAUUAUAACCUGUGUGUUGCCAUUUUCACCAUAUAAAAGGUGAAAGGAACCAGAUCGCUAAUAGAAGUCAUAAGAGUGAAGUUAGUUUGAAUGAGUAAUUAGGCGAUUGCUUUGUAGUUUGAAUGAGUAAUUAGGCGAUUGCUUUGGCUGUUUUGUUUCAAAUGUUUCUUUAUCCAUAUUUGGGAGGCUGUUUUGCUCUAAUCUUUGUGAAAAACUAGUAUGUAAUCAGUGAUAGCUUGCUAGUUGGUUUUAAAACACAGUCCAUACAUGUGGUUCUAGUAACUGUUUGUUUGCUGUUUUUAGCAUGGUAAUCCCCUUCGUCUCUCAUCUCGCUUCAGUUUAUAAAAUUAAAAUGUAGUCACUUUAAUAAUUCAGAUUCCGUUCAAGUCUCUGUUAAGUGUGUGUAGAAUAUGUAAUCUCGUCUCUGUUUCUCCUAAAAUCAAGGUGUCCACAGGCUAGUACUAAUCAUGAGUUUAUUUAAGGAAAGAUAUCAUAUAUUUGGGGUUCAAAUCUUUUUUCACUUGUAACUUGAAUUUGCAAUGCGUAUAAACUUCCCUAAUGAGUGAAAACUGGAAUAAAUUAGUUUGUAAUCUGUUAGGCCUAUGUUCUCAAGUUCUCUUUGCUUGAAAAUACUUUUUUUUGGAGUAUUAAACAAGGAUUAGUUUAACAACCUUAUUUCUAUAAUUAGUGCUUGAUCUCUACAAAAUAUCAUGUCAUGAUAUUUAAAAAGGAAGUAUGUAUCGAAAGAAUUUGUCUCAUUUGAAAGCUCCUCCUAAAAAAAAAACCUCUCAUGUAUAAAUAUUCGUAAAAUAUCCAAGUUCAAGUCUAGUUUGCCUUUUAUUUCAGUAGCUUCUCUGAAUAAAAUCCUUUUGUUUUGCCGGCUGAAAGUCAAGGCAAACCUUGGGUUUUGGUUUAGCAUCCUCCGAUAGUCCGCCAUGCCUGAGGCUCUAGAAACCUUUUGACCUUGUGCGGUAUCGAAAACUCGGAAAGUGGUAACCCCUUUUGUUGCCUGUGAAUCAUUGAACUUGAUGUUUAUUAUUUGUAGGCAGCCUUAAGGCCCAUUGUUUUUUUUAAAGCAUGUUUGGUAGUUGGUAUUUCUUUUACUUUCUGGCAAACUAUUCCAAAUGAUCGACUUCUCUCUUAAGCUGAGUUAUUUCCGAGAUUCUUAACAGUAAGUGACUAUGUCUUUACAAUUUGUGAAAUCAAGAUACAUUGAUUUUAUUUUGAAACUGUCUUGUAUGUUCUUUCGCACCCAAUAUGUGAAUCUUUGUCCUUCCUUGAUAUGUCAAUAUGUCUUUCGAAAUUUAGACAAAAUCAAGUCAAUAUUUCAAAACAUCAAAACACUUUGUACUUUCACUUGUUGUUAGCUUGUUAAAAAUAUGUACUCCUAGAUGCUUAUUCUUCUUCUUCACCCUUCCUCUUCUUUGCAUGACUUGGGGAGUUUCAAACCUCAAAUGAUAUUGCAUAUCUGAGGAAGACAUGCUGCUUGUUUGAUGUGCUUAUUGCUGAGUUUUGCUUGAGGCUAAAAGUUGCCACAUUUAGAGUCAUUAGCUACAACAUUUAGGGCACUGCUCUUGCUACAUUUUGAGUAAGCUACUGCUCAGUGUUGAUUAUUGAAAUGAGCUGCAUUCUGAGGCAAUACGAGGAAAAGAUAUUGCUGUUAUGUUUGUUGCAAUUUUGUUAUCGUGUUGGCUGCCAUGAGUUGCUAUAUUCUUGACCAUUUGCACCGCCUUUGGGAUUUAUUAACUGCGGCAUUUUGGUGGUUCAGUGCUGCUGAGUUUCUGCUGCAAUUUGGGGCCAUUUGUUGCUUCAUUUUUGGCCAUUUACAACUCAGUUUGGGACUGAUUUAGUGUCAGUAUUUUGGUUGAAUGUUCACUGUAUUUUGGGGCUGAAAAUGCCAUCUUUGAGUGAUUUAGUUGCUGUGGGCUGCACUAAAGGGCUGAGUUUUCGCUCUAUUUUGAGGCUCAUUCGGGGUUGAAACUGCUGCUAUAUUUAGCUAGUUGUUGUUGAGAUUUUGAGCCAAGUUUUGGGAAGCUUUGAGGUCAUAGGCUGUUGGUUAUUAAAGACAAAUGGUUGCUGCAUUUUGGGGAGGAAAAAUGCCACACUUUGACAAUUUGUUUGCUGUACUUGAGACUUCACUUUGCUAUGUAUUUUUGGGCUGUUGUUUCUAGAGGGAAGCCUACUUCUCUGCUGCAUCUUGGGGCCAUGGGCUGCUGUAUUUUUGAGUUAAAUCGUUGCUACAUUUGGAGGCAACUGCUGCUGCAUUUCUCUAAGCCAAACCCUGCACUUAAUUGCAGCGCGUUGCCGAGUUACUGUCCUGUUUGACAAGAAAACAAAUGCUGCACUUUGACACUCAUUUUUCUACUAAUGCCUUGAUUAAUCUGUUGCUAUAUAUUGAGGAGUUAUUGCUGAAUAUUUUAGGCCAAUUGCGUUACAUUUAUAAAGGCAAUGUCACUACUCUUUGGGUCAUUUUGUUGUCUUUAAAGGCAUGGACUAGUUGCUACGUUUAAGUCCCAGUUGUCUGAUGAAAAAUAGUUAUUGUUAUGUUGCUCGAUGAGCUGCCUUCCUUCUUUAAAAGGAACAGGCUGCCACUUGUGAUGUCCACCUGAUUUGAACAGAUGCUACACUAUGGGGCCGACGAAAAGUAUCUAAACUUGAGGCCACAAUUUAAAAGAACAUAUUUCUCUACUUGAUGAAAAUUUACUGAUUUGAAUAGAUACUUAACUUGAGCAUGCCUAGCCCGGAAAGGUUAUCCAUCGGCUUAGGCAGUGAUGAUCUCACGGUUAUAUCACGAGGUAGGAACCAACAUGCGCUUGGCAAGGCAACUAGAAUGGCCACUAGUAUGUAGCCGCGACAUGAUUCAGGUUCCUUUGCCAUAUUCGGAACCGUGAGUCUGAGCCUCCGUAAUCAAAGCUCUCAAAGUUUGAUACGAGUCCGCGGGAUAUUAUUCAUGUUCCUAAACGUCACCCUACGGGGUGGCGUAUCAUUUUUUCUAACAUUUUUCUUUCAUAUUUUUGCGAGGUACAAAUAACGCGAGGCAAUAGAACAACGAUGUACCAAAAGUUGAAGCGAAGAAAUUUGGAAGCACAACAUGUUUGGCCGAAGAACUAGAAAAGGGGCAAAUAGGGCUCAAGUCUUAAACCUUAUUUAUUUCUAUCUAAAUUUAUGUAUCCAAGUUUUACAUGUAUAUUUGGAUCUAUAACAAAUUGCUAACCUAUUUAUUUUGGUUUUCCUUCUUAA
Molecule: long non-coding RNA, 4001 nt
Organism: Lycium barbarum (goji berry)
Lineage: Eukaryota; Viridiplantae; Streptophyta; Magnoliopsida; Solanales; Solanaceae
Exons: 2
Source: RefSeq, a predicted model, not a curated record